Molecule: transfer RNA, 86 nt
Filed under: Colletotrichum incanum
Lineage: Eukaryota; Fungi; Ascomycota; Sordariomycetes; Glomerellales; Glomerellaceae
Rfam family: tRNA
About the family: Transfer RNA (tRNA) molecules are approximately 80 nucleotides in length. Their secondary structure includes four short double-helical elements and three loops (D, anti-codon, and T loops). Further hydrogen bonds mediate the characteristic L-shaped molecular structure. tRNAs have two regions of fundamental functional importance: the anti-codon, which is responsible for specific mRNA codon recognition, and the 3' end, to which the tRNAs corresponding amino acid is attached (by aminoacyl-tRNA synthetases). tRNAs cope with the degeneracy of the genetic code in two manners: having more than one tRNA (with a specific anti-codon) for a particular amino acid; and 'wobble' base-pairing, i.e. permitting non-standard base-pairing at the 3rd anti-codon position.
Source: Rfam by way of RNAcentral
UCCGAUAUGGUGUAGUGGCCAACAUGAUGCCCUCUCAACUAUUGAGAGGUUAGGCAUAGCCCCGAGUUCGAUUCUCGGUUUCGGAA